Molecule: long non-coding RNA, 218 nt
Filed under: Vigna radiata
Lineage: Eukaryota; Viridiplantae; Streptophyta; Magnoliopsida; Fabales; Fabaceae
Description: long non-coding RNA (VRAD_LNC009365)
Source: RNAcentral
GGUGUUCAUCAUUUAUCUCCAUUCAGUUGUCAAGUAGCAUAUGUUCACUGUUAGAUAGUGUUUAAAGCUUUGAAAACUUAACUUGUGAUAGUGCUAGGGUCACUCUUGCCUGUCACAAGAUACCCAAAUCUUUGUCUGAUGAGGCAGACAUGCUUGCAGAAUGGCAGCCAAGUUUCACAGAUUUGGGACACAAGCCAUGCUGGGGUUGAUAGCUGGCC